UUUGAUAACCUGAUGUGGGACA
This 22-nucleotide microRNA is filed under the name Chrysemys picta bellii (western painted turtle). Its description in RNAcentral is "Cpi-Mir-599_5p (mature (guide))". Lineage: Eukaryota; Metazoa; Chordata; Testudines; Emydidae. The record is from RNAcentral.